CUCAUACUUUGCAGGUAUUAUUUUGCAACUCAACAAGUUGACAUUACAAACCUUACUAUUAAAGAAAUUUUGAGAUUUUGACAUCUCAAACCAUUUGAUUAUAAAAACCGAGUUUAGAAUUUGUCAGCUUAUCUGAAAAUGACAAGCACAAAUUAAGACCAAGCAUGGUUCCUGAUUUGAACUAUUCAACAAUUCCAUGUAUAGGGGGAAAAUGCAAUAAAGCUAAGCAACAAGUUUACUGCCUUACUUUCGUUUCAGAAAGCGUCACACCUCAAGUCGUACUUAGGCAUGAAACAAUUUGUCAACAUUCUUUUCUCCUCCCGUUACGUUGCUAUUCCACAUUGAUAUAUUGUUUGAAAUGAAAAUGCGGUGAGAGCUAAUCAAUGCAGAUAUCUGCAGCUCAUUAGGCACAUGGUUCUUCUCAAUGGCAAGGGCUUUGGUAGCUAUUCCAGUGGGGAUAAAAUGAAGUCUUUAGCACCGCUUGUGUUCUUUGGCACAACAAACAGAAUGCUUGAUAUUAUCAUGGAAGUUUAUCAACGUGAAAGAGAACAAGCAGAACGCCAACCAAAGUUACUAGAAGACCAAAAUUCUGUAGCCGAAGCAUCUUUUUCAGAUACGGGAUCUGAAUCUUGAUCCCAAGCUGGUAUAGGCAUAUGAUCUCAUGCUAGUUAGCUUUUCAACUUGAUUGGCAUGAGAAUCAGAUCUCUUUUUGAUAUACUUUUGUAGAAAUUCAGUGUUCACUUUGUUGCAGCAUUAAUUCUCUCACAAGUAAUUUUUUUGAAAUUCCACAUUUUUCAAAUUAUAUGGACUUCAACAUUACUAUCUGGUUCUGAUGCACGGAACUGACACAGAGACCAUUUCAAACUUUCCAUUCUCCAUAUCUAGACUGGUAUUUACAUUUACUUCAAACUUCAAAGGGCUGUUCUUCCCUUGUUGCAACAGCAUCUUUAGAAGAAUUAACCAAAUCAGGCGGAAGUCAACCUUUUUAUGAUGAUGGUGUUUCCCCUCAACUUGUUGGCUCUUAUCUGCACCUGAUGAGCAAGAAUCCACCACUGCUUUCCCAAUAGCUUUAGGAAUAGUCUCUUUGCAAUGAUCUUUCUGAUCACAGUUUUGACCAUUCUUUUGCCCUUUAUAGCAGGAAUAUACUCUCUCAGCCUUGAUGUUUCCAAACAAGAGCUCGGCAGCCUUGUUUCUUACAAAUAGUGGCAGGUAUUCUGAUUCAUCCCACACAUAUAACUGCAGUUGACAGGAAUGAUAAAAUGCAUAUUAACAUAAAGCUAGUGAAAUGGCAGAAUAAGCUCUAAAGCAAAAGAUGAAGAUCGCAAGAUGUCAAAGGAAUUUAUAAAACAAAACCAAAUUCACUUAGUGUUGUUUGAUACAUUCAAACAUUAAUGUUUACUUCUUUGACAGCGAGAGAGAGAAUGAGAAACUUGUUUAAAUAUUUAUCCGUGAAAUUACUAAACAGGAAACUGAUAGCAUACAGGCAAGGAAGUAAUUUCAACCAGAGUGUGAGAUAGAAGCACAAUGAAACCACAUUCCAAAGAUGAAUAGACUUUAAUCAAUCUAAAAAUUCAGUGCUCUUAUCAUUUCAAAAAAAAAAAAGGUUAGGUAUAUUAAAAUGAGCACAAGCAAAUCUAUACCAUGAAGGGCCUAUAUAUCAUGCCCACAAUGUGAAGGUGAUCUGAACUUUUUGGGCAAUAGAGUGGAACUGAGUUUUGCUUGAAUAUAUGCCUAUUCUCUGAAUCCAAAGGAGAACCACAUAACUGACAGCCAACACAAGUAAAAUCUUCUGCUAUAGUACUAUCUUCAACGUUGUUUAUUCUCCUACUAACAAACAUCUUUUCCUUAUCAGAAUCGCCUAGUGCUCUCCAGGUAAUUGGUAGGAAAAUUUCACCUGCAGAUGCAUUAAAGACUGCCUUGCAGGAAUUCCUUAGCUGCAAUACUUCUGAAAGCAGGAAAAUAUCCCGAGAUUCACUUUGUUCCGGUACUGUCCAGUUCCUUGGCAGCUGCCUCUUCUGAAAGCUGCUGAGCCGAAUGUUGUAAAGAGAAGAACCAGCUCGCUGCACCCAUUUUAUUACCUUCACAAACUUUUCCAUAGUCGUUUUACCUACUCGACAUUCCCCAAUUAAGUCAUCAACACCUUUAGAGAUAAGCAAUUCAUAAGGAUGGAUCAGACAUUUUAAGGAGGAAAACUGGACAGUUCUAGCGUCAACGACACAUCCAAAUUUAGCGAUUUUGACAUUUUGCAACAAUACGACAUCACCGGCAACUGCCUUAGCUGCCAUUUGCUUUUGCCACAAUGAGACUGAGAAAAACGGUAGCGUAUCAUCGCCAACCUGAAUGUCCGUCCUGAUUACUUCCCCCCCUGUUGAUAGCUUAUACUGAACGGGAUUGCACCGGUGAACAAAAACGAGAAGCUGAACAAAGUCGCCGAUGUGAGAAGUAGCUUUGGAGAGAUCGAUAAGCGGUCCGUACCAUCCGAUUGCUGACGUCAUCUUUCAUGUUAUGCCGCAAGAUUCGGAUGCUAUGGAACUUUCGAGAAGGGUAAUUUUGGCGCUUAAAACAAAUUUUCAUUUAGGGCAUCGGAUGACAGGGCAUCUGAUUCCGCAUGGAUGGGAAUUAGGAUAUUUUUAUUUCUUGCUUCGUUCUUUCAGAGUUCUAUUGUGUCGCAACCAACAUUGUCUUGCUUUACUGCUUCAUCGUAUUGGGAAUGAGAUUUCAUCCAAAUUUAAUAGAACAGCCAUUUAACAUUGUGGUAUAAAGAAUUUUCAAAAAUACAAUAAAAAUGACAAGCUCAAUUGCCAACGGAAGCAGCAAGUUUUAAGCAAUCGCGUACGCAUGAAAACCUUCAAGUGAUGUUCUAAAAUUGAGUUGAGAAGAAUGAUUCAAGUAAUGGUUUUAUCAUUUCUUUCCCGCUAAACAAAAAAGCCUUGUUAAUCGAUUUUGACAGAAGAAUACUUUCCGAUGCAUCUUGUCCAUAAGAAAAGAGCAACUCAGCCACCCAAAAUUAAAACUUAUUGGGCCGCGGCUGCACUAAUUCAAAUUACAAGAGAAAUAAUAAUCAUAAAAAUUCGCUCCGAACCCUGCCCAAUUUUUUUAUAAUCUAUGGAACCGGCCUUAAAAAAACAAGGGCCAACUCCAUUCAGCAGCUUUCGUUAAAAACAGCCACCAAAACUACAAGGCCCGUCAACAUCUACACCUUCCAGACUUGGGAAAAUAUCCGCGAUUCCAAACCACAGAUUUUCUUUAUCUGACUAUUUCUACUAUGCACUAAAUCCUUAUCUACAACAGACCUUUACCAGCUCUGUUAGGCUUCAUCUCCAUGAGCUCAUUCACUUGCAGAACUUAGGACUCACGGUUCCGAAUGUAAGCUCACGUGUCAUGAUUUAGCUAAAAUAUGAGCUCACAUAUAGCCUCACCCCAAUAUCAAUGGGUCCAUCAUCCCCGCCAACCGCAUGAAGUGCAACAGGAAUUGUUGAAAGGAGACGGACAGUGAGGGGGAAAACAACAGGCUCAAUCUCAGACUCUGAAACAGGAUCUACAUGCCGGGAUGCCAAACCAUUCUUGCCUGAAGGUGUAACAUUGCACUCAUUCGCAAACCUUCCAACUGUGCCAGCUUCCGCAUUCAGGUUACAUGGACUUAUGACCCAUGCAACCUCAUUAAGUGCUCUGUAAUUACCAGGGCUAGCCCUUUUAAAUGUGCGUUUGUAGGCACACAAAUUUAGCACCAAUGUUGAUGUAGCCUCAAGCCAUUCCACUGUCAAGCCUUCAACUUCCUCAUAAUAUAUCCUUCGUUCGAUCUGAAAGCUUACACAAGUGAGCAUUAGAAAACAACAUUCUACAACCUAAUAUGGACUCAUAAUAUGAACUAGUACAAAGCAACUUACAGCUAGUUUUUGGAUAUAAAUGGUCAUAAACCUGGGCCCCAGACCCAAAACUCUAGCAUCUGACAAUAAAAACUGCAGAAAAAAAGAAACGCAAAUAAUGAAGUCCUGACCACAUCUGUAGACAAAAUUGCGAUAAUCAAAUGGAGAUAAAUACAGACAGUCAGCUGUGAAUGGAGAAGGAAAAAAAAUACCUCUUUCUUCUUCAGCAAAACCCACAUGCAUAGCUUAUCACAGGCAUCUUUAACAUGCCUACUAGCCAGCUUUCUAUCAUUACUGUAAGCAGCAACACCCGCAAGUAAUUCAGUGCAGGGAACUCUAUGUUUGAUUGCUGCAGCUGAUAAUGCUUCCCUGCCUUCUGAGGAUUCUGCUGCAUCUUUAUCAAAGUAAAUACCAGUGAAAAAUCUUGUCAGUUCCUCUCCCAAUCUCACUUUAUGUGAUAUUUUUCUACUUCUUGUAUACAAUUCCUCUGCUUCAAUAGCUGCAGCCAAUGUCCGAUGUACAACUAUAUCAGGAUAUCGACGCAAGGGUGAAGUAAAAUGUGUGUACAGAGGAACAGCCAGUGCAUAAUGACCCCAAUCAUUGAUAUUAUCUUUCAUAACACCACUGCAAAAGUAGGUUGCCAACUGCAUUGGUCUUGAAGCAUAAGACAUCACAAUAUCGAACAACACACUGUCAUCCUUCAGCUUUUCUCUGAUGUGCUCCAACGACUGAUGGAAGUGACCAGAAGAAGUGUCCAUUUCUAGCCCAUGCUUGCAACAAAAAGCUUCAAACUCUCUAAGCUUCCGCAUAUUAGGUUCAGGAUGCCUCCGCAAUAGUGCACUAUCUGGGAAAGCUCUAGAUAUAACUUCAGCAGCUGUCCUAUUUGCCAAAAGCAUGAACUCCUCAACUAGAAAACUGGACUCCUCCUGCUCACAAAGCAUACUAUCAUAUGGAAUUCCAUAUUCAUCAAAUAGAAAAAAAAUUUUGGAACUUUCAAGCUGUAGAGCCCCAUCAUUAAACCUCUUCUGCCUCAAAGUCUUUGAAAUUUCAUGAAGAAUUUUGACAGAUCUAAUGACAUCUGGCCAUUUGAAAGGGCCAUGCAACAGAGGCAGGCGAUUUCCAAAUGUGUCAAAGAUCUCCUCACUAAUCAUCCCAUCAACCAUAUCCAAAGCAAGUUCAUAUGACAGCUUGCAACAAGAUCGUAUCACAGUGCGACCUAUCCAAUGAUCCAAGAUCUCUCCAACACUGUUCAAGUCCCAGAAAAUAGAAAAUGCAAGUCUAUCUUCUCCAGGGUUAAGUGAGCCCAGAUUCUCAGAAAGAAGGGGAGGUAACAUUGGUAAUUUGCGACGCAACAUAUAGACACUUGUUGAUCGACUCUGAGCUUCUUUGUCUAGGGCUGUAUCAGGCAACACAAAAUAUGACACAUCAGCAAUGUGAACACCAACUCUGACACUGCCAUUGGGCAACCUUUCAAAAGAAAGAGCAUCGUCUAAGUCAGUAGCAGUGGAAGGGUCGAUGGUAAAUAUGCACAAAUUUCUAAGGUCUCUUCUAAUUGUAAGCUCCUCUGCUGGCACUUCCCAAGCUUUGCUUGGCAAGCAAGAAAGAGAUUCAGAAUAAAAUUCAGAACAAUAAAUUGCAUUCUCAAAUAAAAUUGCAUUGAUUUGUGGCUCCAUUUCACUACCCCGUCCAAAAAUGUGUGAUACACGGGCAUAUGGAAAAGGACUUUCUUCAUCCCAAUUAUCAAUAUGUGCACCUACCAGCUCCAUCUCAAUUGUUGGGUCUCCUCUCUCCAAUCUUUUCUUGAUGGAGUCAGGCAAGCUUUGCAUAAGUACCAUCAUUUUGGGAAAUUUUGGAUCAGUUGGUGUAAGUUGAAUAUAUUCACAAGCAGAGAUGGAUGAUGAAUUUUUGUUCUCUUUUGCAUCUUUUUUAAAACCUUCCCUGUAGUAAAACCACUGCUUAACAUUUAAAAAACCAACAAUAGCAUCUCGACGAAGGGACCUUUCAAUGAUGGCAACGACUCUACCAGUUGGUCGUUUUAAUGGGUAUGAAUUAAUCAUAGCACAUAGCCUGUCCACACCAUUCAUAACUUCACUCUGCCCAGAAGAAUAACCAAAAUGUGAAGAAUCUGAAGCAGAGGGAUGAUACCCAUUACCAAAAUUAUAGUCCACUGGAACAUUCAGCUCCUGGUGAAUUCUUUCACCAGCACAAGAACUAUCAUCAUAAUGAAUUCCCUUCUGAGGAAUGGAGAAACUUUCAGGCUCAGCAUAUUUGUAAUCCACAUCCACUUUACUUUUACCCUUGCAGUUACCACCAGCUGUCUCACUGGCUUCUACAACCAAAUUGCAAUCUUCUGCCAAAGAAACAUUGACAGGUGGUCCAUUUGACCCUUUCAUCUUAGUCCAGAGUGGCAAUGGAUCAACCUUGAUGACCACUAUGUCCCCUUCCACCUGCAGGUGCAAAAAAAGUAAUUUCAAACUAUCAGAAAUCCCACCCUUUCAAAAGUGAACUGAAGUGUGUCUCUGAGCGUAUCAACAUUACACUCGUUGCUACAGAAGACAAGUAAAACACAGCAUUCCUUGCUACAGUAGACAAAUCAAUCAGGCAUCUAAUUCCAAAUGCAAUUCCAAGCCAUUAUCUGCAUUCUUAAUAAGGUAAAAAAAUGACAUAUAAACGUCACAAAUUAGAAAAUCUCUUAGAACCACUAAACUCUAGACUUACAGCUCUAUUCUGUGCAGCAAUGCCACUAAUGAGAACAUCUGUCAAAACUCCCUCAAUCUUGCAGUAUGCCUCAAGUCUAUUGUGGGCAUUUACUCGAAAUAAUGCUUUAAAUGCAUCAUCUUUCUCUACUGCCUCAUUAGUAGCCUCCAUGGACCAGUGUGGAGCAAAAAUUUUACCUCGAGAAUUAUCAUCAAAAUGAUAGAAAGGAAGCAAAUCCUUGUUCAUACAUCUUCCAAGGGGAACUCCACCAGCCAUUGGUUCAGGACAUGAUCUUGAAAAUGUUUGCCCACCAAGAUCAGAUGGCAGUAUGUGUUCCACUUCCUCAUUUAUAUGCAUAGUGGGCAUGGAAUUGAAAGCAACAUUUGACACGGAAGUCAGCCCAUGCUCACACAGAGCAUGAGCAUCUAAUUCUGGUUGCCUUGACAUAGAACACAUGGAUGACGCAUAACUUUUUGUUUUGACACCACUUCCACAUGCAUUUGACAACUCCCCGCGUGUUUCAUUCACUGGAUUAGGAGAGUUCUGCUUAGAUCGACGAUUAGAUCGGCGCUUAUUCUUCUUCUUCUCCUUAUCCUUAUCUCCACCGUCCUCAACCCUCUCAACCACCACAGACGACGAUUGCUCAGUAGCUCCCCUCAUGAUUCCACAAUAUUAGUCGACAAUUAAAUUAAAAAAUAUAUAUAUAAUUUAGCAGAAAACAAAACGCAAAAACAAAACAUUUAAAAAAUUUUGAACGGAUAAAACCCUAGAUCAGAUAACCAAAAAAACAGAAAUCAAAACAGAGGCAUCUUCCGAUUUGUGAAAAAAUAUACCCGGAAGAACCGAUAAGUCUGCGAAAUAGUAAAAAUAAAAAGCAAAAACGAAAAAAAAAUAAAGAAAAAGAAUCAAAGAGAAACAACAAGAAGAGGAAGGAAAGGAGGUAAUAGGGUUUUAUAAGAGAAAUCUUUCUCUAGAGAGAAAAUAAUACUAAAAAAUAAAAAUAAUAAAAGGUUAUAGAGAUAGAAAAAGAGUGGGUGGUAGGAAGUAAAAAAAAAAAAAAGAAGGAAAGGGACGUGAUGAUUGGUCGGCGAAGACAAGUAGCGCCGACUAUGGAUUCCUUUGUCUACUACUAACCACUAAUUCUACUCCUACUCUCUUCUGUUCUCUUGAUCUCCACCCAGCAGAGCACCUUGUUUUUUCUUUUCAUUUCCUUUCUCUUUUUUCUUUUUCUUUCACUUUCUUUUGUUUUCCCUUCACUUUCAGGAAGUGGUGUGUCUCCUUUUCUUUUUUUUGGUGGGAGAGUGGAUGGGGCUUUGGAUCAGGCGACAGGUGUAUGUGUUGGGACUGGUAGAAGCUAAAUUGCGCAGCGGGGAUAGGGAGCGCCUGAAUUUGAAGGAGAAGGCAGUGAAAUUUAUGUCUCCA
This 7985-nucleotide unclassified non-coding RNA is filed under the name Hevea brasiliensis (rubber tree). Lineage: Eukaryota; Viridiplantae; Streptophyta; Magnoliopsida; Malpighiales; Euphorbiaceae. The record is from RNAcentral.